AGGUCAAUUCACCAAUUACUGCAACAUAACAUACACAAACCCCACAAGUGGAAGCAUGCGCUUCUUUCAUGUUGAGACCUAUCGUUGUUAAAUGCCAAAAACAUAAGUUGCUGAUCGUGGUUGUGCUCAUUUGAAUGUCAAUUUUUGAAAGUUUCUGUUAAAUUCCAACACCUGUGAGGAAGACAAUGCUUUUAAUACUUUCAGGUUAAAUGUGAAACAUGAAUUGCAAAUUCCUUAAAUUCUAGCACCUCAAAGGUCCUAAAUUGGAAUU
Molecule: long non-coding RNA, 271 nt
Organism: Prosopis cineraria
Lineage: Eukaryota; Viridiplantae; Streptophyta; Magnoliopsida; Fabales; Fabaceae
Exons: 2
Source: RefSeq, a predicted model, not a curated record